GCCAGACUCCUACGGGAGGCAGCAGUGAGGAAUAUUGGUCAAUGGCCGCAGGGCUGAACCAGCCAAGUCGCGUGAGGGAUGACGGUCCUAUGGAUUGUAAACCUCUUUUGUCAGGGAGCAAAGGGCGCCACGUGUGGCGUUUUGCGAGUACCUGAAGAAAAAGCAUCGGCUAACUCCGUGCCAGCAGCCGCGGUAAUACGUAGGUGGCAAGCGUUGUCCGGAAUUACUGGGUGUAAAGGGAGCGCAGGCGGGAAGCCAAGUCAGCUGUGAAAACUACGGGCUUAACUUAGACUGCAGUUGAAACUGGUUUUCUUGAGUGAAGUAGAGGUUGGCGGAAUUCCGAGUGUAGCGGUGAAAUGCGUAGAUAUUCGGAGGAACACCGGUGGCGAAGGCGGCCAACUGGGCUCUAACUGACGCUGAGGCUCGAAAGUGUGGGGAGCAAACAGGAUUAGAUACCCUAGUA
Molecule: ribosomal RNA, 463 nt
Filed under: uncultured bacterium
Lineage: Bacteria
Description: bacterial SSU rRNA
Rfam family: Bacterial small subunit ribosomal RNA
Source: RNAcentral